Molecule: long non-coding RNA, 433 nt
Organism: Branchiostoma floridae (Florida lancelet)
Lineage: Eukaryota; Metazoa; Chordata; Leptocardii; Amphioxiformes; Branchiostomatidae
Exons: 4
Source: RefSeq, a predicted model, not a curated record
GUGUUGCUUGGCUACACUCUAGUUUGCGUCCAGCAAAAUACUCUAACGUCAUUUUGGUGCUGCAUAUUCUACUCAGAAUGAUUAUGUGCCUUUGUUUUCCAUGGGUGUGAAGCAACUUACUUCGGCAACCAUCGGCAGUCUUCGGUACUUUCCGUGUAGUGACUUCCUGUUGAUUCGGAAGAUGAUUCCACCAAGAUCUAUCAACUUGGCCAUCCCGUGAAAAGUAACACCAUUUAGGCAAAUGUGAGUUCUGUGUUCACCUUGCUGAUUGAUGACUCCCAACCGUGGUCUGGAGGUGGUUGAAGCUUGGCAGACUGCAGGAAGACCAUCCAAUCUUCAAUCAGCAUCUCAUAUUAAUAUCAUAUUUCUACAAGCAGGUUGUGGCUUCAAAUACCCUCCUCUCACAUAAAGGCUGUGUCUGGAAAAAAGUGAC